ACGCUCGACACCUACAGGAGGCAGCAGUUGGGAAUAUUGGACAAUGGAGGAAACUCUGAUCCAGUGACGCCGCGUGAAGGAAGAAGGUCUUCGGAUUGUAAACUUAUUUUGUCAGGGAAGAAAAAUGACUGUACCUGAAGAAAAAGCACCGGCUAACUACGUGCAGCAGCCGCGGUAAUCUGAGGCGGGCUGGCAAGGC
This 199-nucleotide ribosomal RNA is filed under the name uncultured bacterium. RNAcentral's name for it is "partial 16S ribosomal RNA". It matches the Rfam family "Bacterial small subunit ribosomal RNA", at positions 328 to 539 of the family's 1533-position model. The record is from RNAcentral.